This is a long non-coding RNA of Pangasianodon hypophthalmus (striped catfish), 2389 nucleotides long. RefSeq lists it as uncharacterized. NCBI's taxonomy places the organism in Eukaryota, Metazoa, Chordata, Actinopteri, Siluriformes, Pangasiidae. The record is from RefSeq and is a predicted model, not a curated record. The transcript has 3 exons.
UGUUCGAGCACAUGAGGUGAGAAAGCCGGACAGACUAAAGGAGUAAAGCGCUGCUGCAUCACUCUCUUAAAGUAUAGAUGAAGUGAGGGCUAAUGCUGCAACUGAAUAAAACUCAUAACUCAGAAUUUCCGACCUCUGACUAGAGAUACACGGUUCGCAGAUUUGAGGAGCUUGACCUCACAGAGGUGGAAAGUGACCUCUGAUUUCCGACUUCCUACCCCUGAGUGUCCUCAGAAAAACGAUUCUUAAGUUCAAUUAAAACAAGAACUACAUGGGCGCGGAGUGGAACAAAGCACGAGUGCCACAUUUGACGCAUUUAGCGCCAUUAACAUCCCUUCUGGGCAUGAGGGAGAAUUCCUCCUUACUGAGCAGAAAUGACGCCUCCUGUUUCCUCCUACUGAGAAACCGCCUCUGCUGCACUGCCGGUGCAGUGUUAAUACACAGGAAAGUGUUGAAUGCACACCCAUAAAGAGCUCGGCCAAAUCCAAGCCGCACACACAUGAACAUAGUAAGAGUGAAUUCACCACUGUGUAGCUGUGUAACAUUAUUUACAAGCCACAUCUGUAUGACCCAGAAUUCCAGCAGUGCAAUAAAAUGGCUCUGGAGGAAGAAGAGGCUCCAAGCUUUUGUAUUCUGUGGAUCUGAAUUAAGCAGCACUUCCUGCCAAUGUCAACACAGGUGUAGAGUUCAGCUGGAGCUUGGGGUGGGGCUUUGGACAAACUACCAGUGUGUACACAGCUCACUAAUCGUGCAUUCCUAAUUGAGAGGAGUUAGGUCUUCAUGUCCUAGUGAGAACAUUACGCACAGUAAACAAUCCGCUCACACUUGAGUGAUCAUUCCAGCACAAGUCAUUGUCCGGAUGCUCUGGAUGUUAUCAGUUAAACCCGAGCAGCUCUUGCUGUUAUUGCAUGAUUUCAUUAAGUGAUGGUGUUGAUGUUUACCCUCAGUGUUGUCUUCUUAUUUGUUUCUGUGGUGGGACCGUAAAGAGAUGUCUGGCUGUGUAGACAGCCCCGGCGUCUGAGCAGGCAGACAGUCCGUCUGUCUGUGAUUAACUCACUGUCUCCUCUGUGCUUUUAGGCAUUAUUGAUGCUUGUCUGCAUGACCAGGCAUAGCAGUGUGUCGCACAGUUCUGGAUAUCACACACACACACACAGUCUCUCCAGUGCACACAGUAUCCUCUGCUUUAGGGGGUUUAUAUGUAAAGAAUAAAACACGCCGAAGCAGAUUAUUUUCCUAUAACAGCAUGUCCUGAAGUGUUUUAUUUUUGUUAUAGCACAGCAAUUUGCCAGAGCUAAAACCUUGUACUUUUUAACUGUUUAUAGUAACAUGUAACAUUGAGGAACGUCACUGCCUCUCUUGAAAAUAAAAAAAAAGGGCAGCUUGUCAUGCUACCAAGAAACCAGGGACUUGCUGUUACAAAGCACUGACACUGGAGACUCCUUCCAUGAAUGUUAAAUAAAUGAGCUGUUACUAUAGAAAAGAUAACGUAUCAGAACAAGCACAUUAAUAUAAAUGUAUAAAAAAAUUACGAGCAGCACUACUGUCAGAGCUGUUACAGAAAGUUAAUCAACACCUUCUGUCCAAUCAGAGUUGAUAUGGUACACGUAAAGUGUUAUUAGCAUCUCAGGAUUCUAAUGUAAUGCAUUAAGUAGGGAUGUGAAGGUGAAGAAUGCAAAUAUAUAAAACUGGGAAAUGGGGCCAUGUGUAAAGCAGUGACUUGUAUGACAAUACAUCUAUAAUAAUAAACACUUAACGAUAUGUAAAGAAAGACCUAACUUUAAAUAGUCUCUACACACAGCCUACAGAUUGUGCUUCUUUUUCCAAUGAGUAAAAAAAAAAAUUAAAGUGUUUGUUAGGUCUUCAAGUUCCUUCCAGCAGAACAGGUUUGCUUAAUUUACAUGAAAGAAUUAAAAUGAAUUUUUUGUGCUUGUUGGUGCUCUGCCCAGAGGUGAUAUGCUGACUUUCUCUCAAUGUUGCUUCAUACAAACUGCCAAGGUUCAAGAGGUUGUGUUCCCACAAACAAGUGGUAACAAUUAAUGAUUGUUGUUACUGAAGGAAAACACCAGCAUUGCAUUCAUAUGGACAGUGACAGGCUCUGUAGGUGUGUGAGGAAAUGUGCUCACCUGGAAAUUUGCAAGAUCUUUAGCAAUUUGCAUAUUAAUAGUGAGCAAACAUCAUCUUAGUGUACAUGAUUUAUGCACAUCUCCAAAGCUAGAAUGCCGCCAUCCUGCCAAGUUCCUAAUGCACCAAACUGCAAGCACACCUGAUUCAACACAUAGAGUCAGAUUAUUAGCGAAUGAAUUAAAUCAUGGACAGACUAAACUGUGUAGUGCAGUGCUGUCAGUAUCCACAACUGGACACACACUGUAUAAUUUUGGAGCAUUUUUUU